Molecule: ribosomal RNA, 733 nt
Filed under: uncultured bacterium
Lineage: Bacteria
Description: bacterial SSU rRNA
Rfam family: Bacterial small subunit ribosomal RNA
Source: RNAcentral
GCAGUCGAGGGGUGUAGUAGCAAUACUAGAGACCGGCGCACGGGUGCGUAACGCGUAUGCAAUCUACCUUUCACAGAGGGAUAGCCCAGAGAAAUUUGGAUUAAUACCUCAUAGUAUAAUACCUUGGCAUCAAGGAAUUAUUAAAGUCACAACGGUGAAAGAUGAGCAUGCGUCCCAUUAGCUAGUUGGUAUGGUAACGGCAUACCAAGGCGACGAUGGGUAGGGGUCCUGAGAGGGAGAUCCCCCACACUGGUACUGAGACACGGACCAGACUCUUACGGGAGGCAGCAGUGAGGAAUAUUGGACAAUGGGCGCAAGCCUGAUCCAGCCAUGCCGCGUGCAGGAUGACGGUCCUAUGGAUUGUAAACUGCUUUUGCACAGGAAGAAACAACAUUACGUGUAAUGUCUUGACGGUACUGUGAGAAUAAGGAUCGGCUAACUCCGUGCCAGCAGCCGCGGUAAUACGGAGGAUCCAAGCGUUAUCCGGAAUCAUUGGGUUUAAAGGGUCCGUAGGCGGCUUUAUAAGUCAGUGGUGAAAUCUCCCCGCUCAACGGGGAAACGGCCAUUGAUACUGUAAGGCUUGAAUUAUUAGGAAGUAACUAGAAUAUGUAGUGUAGCGGUGAAAUGCUUAGAGAUUACAUGGAAUACCAAUUGCGAGGGCAGGUUACUACUAAUGGAUUGACGCUGAUGGACGAAAGCGUGGGUAGCGAACAGGAUUAGAUACCCUGGUAGA